Molecule: ribosomal RNA, 637 nt
Filed under: Staphylococcus aureus
Lineage: Bacteria; Bacillati; Bacillota; Bacilli; Caryophanales; Staphylococcaceae
Description: partial 23S ribosomal RNA
Rfam family: Bacterial large subunit ribosomal RNA
Source: RNAcentral
AUUUGGUCGUAGACCCGAAACCAGGUGAUCUACCCUUGGUCAGGUUGAAGUUCAGGUAACACUGAAUGGAGGACCGAACCGACUUACGUUGAAAAGUGAGCGGAUGAACUGAGGGUAGCGGAGAAAUUCCAAUCGAACCUGGAGAUAGCUGGUUCUCUCCGAAAUAGCUUUAGGGCUAGCCUCAAGUGAUGAUUAUUGGAGGUAGAGCACUGUUUGGACGAGGGGCCCCUCUCGGGUUACCGAAUUCAGACAAACUCCGAAUGCCAAUUAAUUUAACUUGGGAGUCAGAACAUGGGUGAUAAGGUCCGUGUUCGAAAGGGAAACAGCCCAGACCACCAGCUAAGGUCCCAAAAUAUAUGUUAAGUGGAAAAGGAUGUGGCGUUGCCCAGACAACUAGGAUGUUGGCUUAGAAGCAGCCAUCAUUUAAAGAGUGCGUAAUAGCUCACUAGUCGAGUGACACUGCGCCGAAAAUGUACCGGGGCUAAACAUAUUACCGAAGCUGUGGAUUGUCCUUUGGACAAUGGUAGGAGAGCGUUCUAAGGGCGUUGAAGCAUGAUCGUAAGGACAUGUGGAGCGCUUAGAAGUGAGAAUGCCGGUGUGAGUAGCGAAAGACGGGUGAGAAUCCCGUCCACCGAUU